UUUUCUGGAAGAUCGAAGAUUUUGGUACUUACAUCAGCAAUUUGUCCUUCUUCCUUUUCAUGCUCAAGAUGAGCAUCAUCUAAGCAUGGGGAGUCAUCGUAUUAUCUCUGACUACUGCUGAGUAAGUAAUAUGUUGCAAAGAGUUCUGAGGAGCAAAAAGAAAAAAACAUAUAUUGUGAAAAAGAAAGAAAAAAAAUGAAAGAAGUGUUAAAAAUAAAAGGAGAAAUAAAAAUACUCCUCAGUUCUUUGAGAUUCAUAAAGAUCCCAAGUGCUCUCAAGAUUAACGAUUAUUCCAUAGUUAUUUUUCCAACCAUGUGCAAUCCGAUUACGAGAACUACAUUUGUGUCUCGCGAUCACUCUUUGCACUUACACAUGUCCACUAUCAAAAUGUGUGUGUUCAUUCUCU
RNAcentral lists this long non-coding RNA (406 nucleotides) under Setaria viridis. Its description in RNAcentral is "long non-coding RNA (SVIR_LNC000120)". The record is from RNAcentral. Lineage: Eukaryota; Viridiplantae; Streptophyta; Magnoliopsida; Poales; Poaceae.